This 45-nucleotide small RNA is filed under the name Arabidopsis thaliana (thale cress). RNAcentral's name for it is "ATSL242510". Lineage: Eukaryota; Viridiplantae; Streptophyta; Magnoliopsida; Brassicales; Brassicaceae. The record is from RNAcentral.
CUUGUUCUUCUUCGUCUUCAAACCUUGUCCUCUUCAAUUAUCUUC